AAGCUUCCAAUCUCAUUUUAUCUCCAUUACUUUCUACACCAAAAUUGGGUCCCACAACCCGGUUCUUUGUCUAGAGGAUAGCAGUUGAGUACUAGUGGUGGUCUCGGAUAGAAUUGGUAAGAAGACAUCAAACCUUUUGAAAGCUUCAAAGGUAAUACUUCUUAAAACCCUAAUUUGAUUAGUUUAUGGUUACAUGUUAAUUGUGGCAAUUAGGGUAGAAAUUCGAUUCUUUUUCCGCUGUGCAUGACUUAGUUCUAUCACUAAUACACCCAUUGAUACACCUAAUACUUCUUGAUACACCUGAUACAUUUGAUUGAUACACUUGAUGCACCUGAUACUCUUUGAUACACUCGAUACCGAAACAUGCUAAUAUAUGUUUGAUACACCUGAUACAUUGCAUAUACAUUUAGUAUUAUCCACUUAUACAAUUGAUUGAUUAAAUGAACUUGAUAUGCUUGAAGUCCUACUUAUACACUUGAUAUGCUAUCGAUAUACACUUGUAAACUCGAUUCAUAUACUUGUUAAUGAUUCACUUUACUGAUAUGUUUUAACAAUAUAUUGUUGAUAUACUUGAUAAUGAUAUAUUGAAUUACAUCAUUCAUAUACUUAAUAAUACUCUAAUAAACUACAUAAAAUUUGAAAAAAUGAAAACCACGUAGUAAGUAUAUUAACCAACUAAUACAUAUAAUAUAAGUAUACUACAAUACUAUCAUACGAAACUGAGACAGAGUAAAACAAAAAAAUUAAUAUAAAAAAAUAAAAGAAAAUCAUUUGGAAUCAAAUUCAACUCAAAAUACACAUAAAGAAAGUAAAAAAAAAUCACAAAUAAAGUUAAAUUACUCCAAUCAACAACCAUUAUAUUAUAUUAUUCAUAUUAAAACUAAUGUACUAUUGAUAUUUUAAAAUUAAGAUGAAGACAGAAAGAAUAAAUAAUUUUUCUAGUAUAAGAAUAAACAAGUAAUUAGGGCCUUAAAAAGUGGGAGCAUAAAUAAAUAAUGAGUAGGACAUUAAAAAGAGGAAGAAAAAUAAGUUAUUGAAUGGUAGUUUAGAAAUAAUGUCAAAUUUAAGAUGAAGAAGUAAAAAUUUUACCAUAUUUGCAAAAUUCUAAAACAAUGUGCUAUAAUUGUUAUAUUAUAUUCUCAAAAUGUCAUCCUAUGCAAUUUUCCUAAAAAAUAACCCUCAACUAUUAAAAAGUUUUAAAAAAUAUAAUACCCUUAUGCUUCAAAAAAAAAAAAAAAAGUUAAAAGAUAAUCUCCAAAUUUUGCACCAAUUUAUAAAAUAAAAAUAAAAAUUUUAAAUUAAAACUAUAGUUUUAUUUUUAUCUGACUAUUAACCCAUAAUCAUAGAUCACAAACAUAACCCUUCUCAAUAGUUAUUGUUGUACCAUUGUCAAAUAACAAAAUGUAUAUGACUAUUAACAUAUAGUGAUAGUCUGAUAGAUCUCUCAACGUGAGAUGUUUUUUAUUUGACUAGUAAUUGUUUUAACGAGAAAACUUCGUGAAAUUUUGUAAAAUUGUAUGGUUUAAAUCAUGUUUAAGAUAUGAAUGUUGACUGAUAUAUUGAAGUCUUGAUAUUACAUAAAUUUUGAUUUCGAUAGAUAUUUUUGAAAAAUUAUUAUAAAAACAAUAAUUAAAAAAUAAUAAUUUUAAAUUAGUAAAUAAAUAUUUUAUUAUUUUCAAAUAAGUAAACAUGUCUAUUAUUUAUAUUUUAUAUUAGUGUUAUUUUUAUGUUUAUUUGUUGUGAUUUGUGCAUUUUUCUAUGGUGUAAUGGAAAUAUUGCUUCAUUACUAUCAAUAUCAAACACAUGAAAAUGUGAAAAUAUCGAUAGAAAUGCCUACAUAUGGAUGAAAAUUUAAAACUAUAGUUUUAACUUAAAGUUUUGAUUUUUAUUUUGAGGGAUAAGAAAUUUUGUUUAAAAAUUAGAUAAAUGAAAGUAUUUUUGAAUUUUUUAUAAGUUUAAGAGUGUUUAUGAAAAUUUUGAAUAGUUGGAGGAUACUUUUGAAACAAAAUUUUAAUAGUUUUCAUACAAAACUAACUUAUAGAACUUUUGAACCAUUUUUAAAAGUUUAAAAACAGAUUAAAAUUUCUUAAUUUUGUUUCUCUCCUACUCGUCGUCCUCCCAAGUUUCGUUGAAGGCUUCGCUCACAGCGUUGCCUCCGAAACAAAUGGGUAUCCCUUUUGAUUUUGUUGAACGACCGAGUUUUGCACUUUACCUCCGAAACUCAAUCGCUUGCAUGUUCACCACUCUUCUUGGUGAACAUGCAAUUCCGACUCAGUUUUCCCCUUCCACUUCCCCUUGCCGCUUGGACUCCCAUUUGCCGAUCGAGUAUUUUUUUCUCUCUGAUUUGGACACUUCCUACACUAUCGUUACUAUCAUCUUCUGCAAUUGGGAUGUUUGAGCAAGGUAGGGUUGGAGGUAAGUGGUUGGAUUUUGAGUUUCUAUCGAAGCUGAUGAUAAGGAUUACACUUAUGUAUUGUCUGAAUAAUUAUUUGUGAUUAAUUCUGUUUAUGUACUUGUCUGAAUAAUUAUUUGUAAUUGUUUUUGUUUUUUUCUUCAAUUUACUUCCAAUUUUUUCAUAUUCGGUCAUCCCUGUUUGAAACUGCAAUGUUGUUGUUUGUUUUUCAUGUUUCUGAUUAGUUUUGUUUGUUUAAAUUCAUAAUUAUUCGUAAUUACUUUUGUUUAUGUGCUUCUCUGAAAAAUUAUUUGAAGUAGUUUUGUUUCUUACUUCAAUUUACGUUCAUUUUUUUCAUUUUUGGGCAUCCUCUUUGAAACUACAAUGUUGUUUAUUUUCCAUGUUUUUGAUUAGUUUUGUUUCUUUGAAUUCAUAAUUAUUUGUAAUUACUUUUGUUUAUGUGCUUGUCUGGAAAAUUAUUCGUAAGUAGUUUUGUUUCUUACUUCAAUGUCCUUCCAUAUUUUUUCAUUUUUGGCCAUCCCCGUCUGAAACUACAAUGUUGUCCUUGUUUUUCAUGUUUUUGAUUAGUUUUGUUUGUUUGAAUUUCUUGUUGCUACGAUGUUUAGCAAUCUGAACACUGCAUUUUCAGGCAUGUUUUUUAAUUGGUGCCCUAAGAAAUAUGUUGUCAUAUUUAUUUCUUUUGACACUAAGAAAUAUGUUGUCAUAUUUAUUUCUUUUGACAUUUGACAUUUGAGUAACUAUGUUUACAGUUUCAGUUUACUUGCAAUUAAGAUGCCUUAUGAUGUUGAGUUGCUGUGAAGUCUGCUCUCUUUAUUUGCAAGCAACUGUCUGUUCUGUUUUAUUCUCUUUAUUUGUAAGCAAAUCUCAUCAAUCCAUAACAUUGCACUGUCUGUGUUCAAUCAUUUUCCUUGGUUAUGCAUUUGUCUAUUCAUAGCUUAUCUUUGUCUUAAUGUGGUAGGUUUUGACUAUGUCCUCCUCUUUUCUGUACACUUCUGUCAUUUAAAGAGGUUCCCUUCUUUUAUUUUUUUGGUAUGGGUCAAUAAAGGCAUACUUGACCAUCUAUCCCUCUAUAUAUAGCACUUCAUUUGUUGUAUUUUAUUAUGUGUUGUUUUCCUUGCUUCCUCCUCUGUUCUUUCUUCAUUUGGUAGGUAAAUUCAUUUUCUUUUAUUCUUUUGAAGUUCCAUUUGUCCUUCUUUUUUCUUUUGUCAUAUCUAUGUUAACAAGAAUGUGCAUGUCUGUCCUUACUGUUCAAUUCCGAUCUGUUAUGUUUAAGGCAUAUUAUGGGUCAUGAAUUUCUUCAUUAUUUGAAGGAUAUACCUUCUUAUACAUAAAACCUUAUCCACUGCCAUUUCAUACUUUUCAUGAUUUCUUUCAUGUCAUCUCAUGUUUACUAUCCAUAGCCAUUUUAAGGGAUGUUGAUGUUGAUGUUGAUGUUGUAUGAUUGUUUGAUAUAUAUUUUUUGUGUCGAUGUUGUAUGACUGUUUGAUUUUUAUGUGUUGAUGUUGUAUGCUUAUUUUGUUUGCAUUUACAACCCUAUAUAUACUUUGCUGCAUAAUUUGUAUUGAUGUUCUACUAAUAGAUUCAGUUCGUUACAUCGAACAGAUUCAACUCCUCUGAGGCACAACAUUUUUUAAAAAUAAAAUAAGAUUUUUCUCAUUCAUUUAAUGAAUCUUGUUUUUUCAUUUCAUCAUCGACAUUCCUCCAAAUAAUAGGGUAUGUAAGCGAUACACUUCAUCCUUAUAGUAUUUUUACUCGUACUUGUGUUAGACAGAAACACCGAUUUCCUUACUUUCUUUGCAGAAUAUUCGACUUCAUACUGUUGGAAUUUUUUUGUCCUAAAACUCGUAGUUUGUAAAUCACUAUUCUGUUCAAUAAAGUUGUUAUUGAGAAAUUAAAUAUUAUAAUCUUAAAUCCAAUAAAUCAAGUUCCAAGGCUAUUUUUUGAAUAAACUUGAACUUUAUGUGUAAACAUAAACGUGGAUCAAGUUCGAGUAUAUAGCCUAAAAUAGUCUAUAGUAUAUGAAAUAAAGGUUGGGCCCUUAUUUAGAGAAACUAUGGAUGCGGCCCACUUUGUAGUACAAACGACGUAUCGUUCAUGUAGAGACAUGAAAGUGGGGGCAUCCUAUGUAAAAUGUUUACAUAAGACUGAACCAUGAAUUAGUCUUUUUUACGUUAUAACACCGUUUACUGUUUAAAACUUGACUAUCUCAAUUAUUGAUGACCUAGGUAACUUAGUCUUAAUCCUGAGUUAACUAUAACUCCUGUUCACAUGAGAUUAUCCUUAGAUCUGCAUAGGUGAGGGCAGCUCAUCAAGCGUUGGCCCAAUAAGCCUCCCAUUUCAGGGUAAGAUCGGGUGGAUAGCUGGGAACAUAGGGUACAAGAUGGAAUUCACUCCUACCCGCUUUAGGGUUAGUAGAUAGGUUGCUCUCUUAAGCACUGAAUCCAAGUCUUGAACAAGGGGCCCCACCCUCUCAUUGGCCCGAGAGGGAUUAAGUUUAUAGGUUGAACCUUAAACCAAUUGUUCAAUAGUGGAUUAGUGGGACUUAAGGAGCAAGAUGUAAUCUUGGGGGUAAAACGGUAUUUUGACCCAGCCAAGGUUACGAGCAACCUGUGAAGGAUUAACUUACUGAUUAUGGUUUUAUCAAAUGGACACAAAUAUAUCUAUAGUGAGGGGAGUGCAACUACGGGACUUUAGUGGAAUGACCCGUUAGUUAACGAAUGUUGAUUAACUCGGUUUAAAAGAGUUUAGCUAGUUAAUCUUGAAUCGUUGGAGCCCAUGAUCUAUAGGUCCAUUAGGUUCCUCUGCUAGCUCAUAUGGAUUAAACUUAGAACAGUGUGAUGAAAUAAGUCGAAUUGUUCGAAUUGGGAGAAGAAAGGGAAACCGACAUAUACAGUGAUAUAGUCGUCGAUCUUCUAAUUAGAAAUAGAGCUUUAUGUUUUACAUACUAUAAGUAUGAAUGCGGAUUCAUACUAAGAAGCUCGGAAUUGGUCAAAAAUAGUAAAAAGUCAAAAUGUUGACUUUUGACUUUGAAAAAGUCAAACUUUGACCGGCCUUAUAUUCAAAUGUGAUUUGAAUUUUGGAAAAAUGAAUGCGGAUUCAUGCUCGGGAGGUUGGAAUUAGUCAAGACGGACAAAAUGGUAAAAAGUCAAAAUGAUUGACUUUUGACUUUUGACUAGAAAUAUCUAAUGACCAUUUUACCCUUGGACUAAGUUAGUGGGAAAAUCCAACAUUUUGUUGGAUAAUCCCACUAACUCUUAGUGGGAUAUGUGGCUAUAUGAGAUAUAGACACCUAGCCCACUAAGUUCCACUAAUUGUUAGUGGAAUAUUAGGUGUUGAGAUUUGGCAAUUGAAUUGCAUGCAUUUUUGCAUGUAAUUAGGCUAUAAAUAGAGAUGUUUUCAAAUGUUGAAGGACUUUUGCCUCUUUUAUCAUUUUCAUCAUCUCAACAAAAGAAAAAAGAAAGCUUCCAAUCUCAUUUUAUCUCCAUUAUUUUCUACACCAAAAUUGGGUCCCACAUCCCGGUUCUUUGUCUAGAGGAUAGCAGUUGAGUACUAGUGGUGGUCUCGGGUAGAAUUGGUAAGAAGACAUCAAACCUUUUGAAAGCUUCAAAGGUAAUACUUCUUAAAACCCUAAUUUGAUUAGUUUAUGGUUACAUGUUAAUUGUGGCAAUUAGGGUAGAAAUUCGAUUCUUUUUCCGCUGUGCAUGACUUAGUUCUAUCAUGUGGUAUCAGAGCAUGCUUCAUUUUUACCCAAUUGCAUGUGGUGGGUUCAUAUUUAUUAGAUAAAUUUUGGUUUGAACUAAAAUGGAUAUAUUAUGAUUUUGGCUCUAGAUUAAGUGUUUUUGUUCUAAUUAUUGUAAUUAGCCUUGUUGAUGGCUUAUUUUUAUUGUUGCAAAGUGUUUGUAAUUUUUAAAAAAAUAAAAAAAGUCAUUAGAGUUGAAGCUAGGCUGUAAUUGGUUCAACCGAGUGAGAGAAUUGAAAAAAAAUGAAGAAAAGAAGGUCACAGACCCGAAAACCCGCCUUGACCCGCUUCGCGACCCGCACGCGCCUGCGCGCCCUCCUGCGCCCGCGCGCCCGCCUUCGCUCGCGCGCCUGCCUUCGCACGACCCGUGUGCGCCUGGGCCAGUUCAAGCCAAUAAAUUUGGUUUUUGGGCCGGUUCAAGCGGUUUCGGUUGGUUUUUUAGCCGGUUCGAAGUUUUUGGGAGUGGUUCUGUACUACACCAAAUUAAUUAUGUAAUAAUUUAGCACUUAGCUUAAUUUAGGAGCCAAAAAUCAGUCCAUUUUAGGGUGUUCUUUUUUAUUUAUGCAUGUGAUGUAUGAUUAAAUUACUUUAAAUUUGUAUGUGCAUUUUGAAUGUCAUAUAGCACUAGUACAAAAGUGGGCUACGACGACAGUUAUUUACUGUCGCGAACGGAUUUCGUGACAGUUAUUUUCAGUCAUAGAGCGGGAGUCAUGGAAAGGCCUUCGACGACAGUUUUUGAAAACUGUCGCAAUAGGUUGUUUUAUGACAUGAAAUAAAUGUCGUUAAUCAACAUUCAACGACAUUCAAUAACUGUCAUAAUUUAUUUUAUAACAUUCAAUAACUAUCAUCAUUUCUUUAUUAACGACAGUUAAAUAAUUGUCACGAAUUCUAUUAUCGUGACAUGUAUUAAUUGUCAUGAAUAUGUUUUUCGCGACAGUUUUUUUUGUAAAAAUGUCAUUGUUUAGUUAUUGACGACAUUUUUUUCCAGUCAACGAUUGUGCAAUCGUGACAGUUUUUCGAUAACAUUAAAUGUCAUUGUUUUGCCAUUGACGACAUUUUUUCCCAUUCAAUAAUAUAAUGCAAUCGUGACAGUUUUUUUUUUAAAAAAAUUGUCAUUGUUUAUCUUAUGACGACAUGUUAUUCCUGUCACAUAUAGAGCAAUCGUGACAAUUUAUUUUGUUAAAUAACUGUCAUCGUUCUCCAAUUUACAACAACUAUUAACUAUCACAUUUCUCAAUUUCCUAUAGUUUUAUUUUGUUCUCCAUGCAGCUCCACCAUUACACGAACCAUUAGAAUGACAAUAAUGUAGCUGAGAAUGACAAAUUUGAAAUUAUACAAGUUUCACACCAAUGUACAAGAAAAUAGCCAACACUUUAAUAUAUAUACACUAUAAUACGAUUUAUAAUAUUUGUACAUCUUAAUACAAGUUUCAGUAAUCCACAUGUACGAAAUACUAACCCUUAAUCAAAAAAUAUCUUAAAUAACAUUCGAAUAUAUUUGACUGGACCAACCGAGAAUGUUCGUUUCUGGAAAUGAUAUUUGAAACAAAACUCAUGAACUUGUCGACUCCAGUUGAAC
RNAcentral lists this long non-coding RNA (7730 nucleotides) under Cucumis sativus (cucumber). RNAcentral's name for it is "long non-coding RNA (CSAT_LNC000166)". The record is from RNAcentral. Lineage: Eukaryota; Viridiplantae; Streptophyta; Magnoliopsida; Cucurbitales; Cucurbitaceae.